CUUUUUCUUAUACCUCACAGCUAAACCUCAAUCAUCCUUUACCUCUACUUAUCUCAACCACUGAGGAGAUCAAAAGAAGUGUUAGAAAAUGAGAACCAUUGUCAUUGUUGUUUUAACUAUGCUGGUGAUGAUGAGUACUUGCAUGGCUACAAGUAGGAGUUUGAAUUAUUACGAGGAGCACCCUGCAGCUGCAGGAGGAGGAACAAGAAAUAUUGGUAAUCAUCAUCAUAUGGGUAGGGAGGAGUUCAAUAACAAUAAUGGUGGAGUUGGAGGUGCUACUCCUAAAGCUGAUGAUAAUACAGAUGAUGGAAAGUUCUAAACUACAACCCUAGCUACUAUUAAAAUGCUCUUGAAAUUAAUGGUAUAACAUAUCAAGUGUGAUAUAUGAAUAUUGUUAUUACAUAUAAUAUUUCUCCUGUCUACGUAGGGUGCAACUCUUGCUAAUGCGGAAUAUAUGCUUUGUGGCCUAUCGCCUAUCAGUAAAUUAAAUUAAAUGGGAAUAAACUGUGGUCAGAGGUACAUCUCCAUGUAAUUUAACCUCAUGUAAAUAUGCAUGCAUGGUUGUAAUAGUGUGUGUAUAGAUCAAUCAAUAUGAUCUUGCUUUGGGUAUUGUAAUUGACUGAAGUUAUUUUUUAA
Capsicum annuum is the source of this 636-nucleotide long non-coding RNA. RefSeq lists it as uncharacterized. The transcript is spliced from 2 exons. The record is from RefSeq and is a predicted model, not a curated record. Lineage: Eukaryota; Viridiplantae; Streptophyta; Magnoliopsida; Solanales; Solanaceae.